This 495-nucleotide ribosomal RNA is filed under the name uncultured bacterium. Its description in RNAcentral is "partial 16S ribosomal RNA". It matches the Rfam family "Bacterial small subunit ribosomal RNA", at positions 28 to 507 of the family's 1533-position model. The record is from RNAcentral.
GACGAACGCUGGCGGCGUGCCUAAUACAUGCAAGUAGAACGCUGAAGGAGGAGCUUGCUCUUCUGGAUGAGUUGCGAACGGGUGAGUAACGCGUAGGUAACCUGCCUGGUAGCGGGGGAUGACUAUUGGAAACGAUAGCUAAUACCGCAUAAGAGUAGAUGUUGCAUGACAUUUACUUAAAAGGUGCAAUUGCAUCACUACCAGAUGGACCUGCGUUGUAUUAGCUAGUUGGUGGGGUAACGGCUUACCAAGGCGACGAUACAUAGCCGACCUGAGAGGGUGAUCGGCCACACUGGGACUGAGACACGGCCCAGACUCCUACGGGAGGCAGCAGUAGGGAAUCUUCGGCAAUGGACGGAAGUCUGACCGAGCAACGCCGCGUGAGUGAAGAAGGUUUUCGGAUCGUAAAGCUCUGUUGUAAGAGAAGAACGAGUGUGAGAGUGGAAAGUUCACACUGUGACGGUAUCUUACCAGAAAGGGACGGCUAACUACGUG